GACGAACGCUGGCGGCGUGCUUAACACAUGCAAGUCGAACGGAAAGGCCCUGCUUUUGUGGGGUGCUCGAGUGGCGAACGGGUGAGUAACACGUGAGUAACCUGCCCUUGACUUUGGGAUAACUUCAGGAAACUGGGGCUAAUACCGGAUAGGAGCUCCUGCUGCAUGGUGGGGGUUGGAAAGUUUCGGCGGUUGGGGGUGGACUCGCGGCUUAUCAGCUUGUUGGUGGGGUAGUGGCUUACCAAGGCUUUGACGGGUAGCCGGCCUGAGAGAGUGACCGGCCACAUUGGGACUGAGAUACGGCCCAGACUCCUACGGGAGGCAGCAGUGGGGAAUAUUGCACAAUGGGCGGAAGCCUGAUGCAGCAACGCCGCGUGCGGGAUGACGGCCUUCGGGUUGUAAACCGCUUUCGCCUGUGACGAAGCGUGAGUGACGGUAAUGGGUAAAGAAGCACCGGCUAACUACGUG
RNAcentral lists this ribosomal RNA (468 nucleotides) under uncultured bacterium. RNAcentral's name for it is "partial 16S ribosomal RNA". It matches the Rfam family "Bacterial small subunit ribosomal RNA", at positions 28 to 507 of the family's 1533-position model. The record is from RNAcentral.